GGGGCUGACUGGUUUCGACAGCAGAACUUGUGGAUGGGUAAGCAUGCAGAGAACGGCAGCGCGAUCUCUUAAAUCCCUUGCUGCAAAAUCUAACUGGCAACCAAGAGUAUGCUCUUGCUGCUUAAUCUGAAGUAAAGUAGGAUUUUAAGCGUUUUUCCCGAAGUAUAGUAAGGAAGCAAGAUGUCUUACGGAAGCUCCGUUCUACGGCGUCCGAGCAUAAGGCAUAGGAAAGGUAGAAAUAAGCUUUCGGCCGCUUUUGCCGAAAGACGAAAAUCUUUAAGAAGCUAAGCCGAAAAUUGGGUGUCUGUUCUCUGUUUUCGGACGAAAACCAAAAACAGAAUAAGCAUGUAGAACGCCUAUGUACUUUCUGUUUGGACGAGGGUUCGAAUCCCUCCAGCUCCACAG
Molecule: transfer-messenger RNA, 405 nt
Filed under: Bergeyella sp.
Lineage: Bacteria; Pseudomonadati; Bacteroidota; Flavobacteriia; Flavobacteriales; Weeksellaceae
Rfam family: transfer-messenger RNA
About the family: Bacterial tmRNA, also known as 10Sa RNA or SsrA, is named for its dual tRNA and mRNA-like properties.
Source: RNAcentral